UCUUCGGUUCAUGUAUGAGACGAAAUCGGCAAUGGAGAUUACGGAUAGGAGGGACGAGGAGAUCAGGGAAGGUGGAGAAUCCGGAAACAUGGACAGCAUUAAGUCGCAGUAUGUUACCGACUCUUUUGCCGAUGAACGCCACUCUCGCGAGCUCAAGGCUGGUCUGCAUCCUCUACGGUACAAGUUUGCGAUUUGGUACACCCGUCGCACACCAGGGGUCCGAAGUCAGACUGCAGAAAUACUAGCAUUCAAGAUAAUAUCGGAACAGGGGAUUGCAUCUGGAAUCAGGCGUAUCGAAGCGGUUGCAGGUGAAGCAUUUUUUUGAAUACAUAAACUCACGGGAUUCUCAAAUGAAACGUCGAUGCUCGACUCUCAAGGUCGUUUUCGUGGAGCUUUUUCCAAGUCGAUUUUCUGUUCUCACACCUCAGGCUUUGAAAGUUUGCUUCUCAGAUACAUUGCUUUGACG
This is a long non-coding RNA of Eutrema salsugineum, 466 nucleotides long. RefSeq lists it as uncharacterized. The record is from RefSeq and is a predicted model, not a curated record. Lineage: Eukaryota; Viridiplantae; Streptophyta; Magnoliopsida; Brassicales; Brassicaceae. The transcript is spliced from 4 exons.